Molecule: long non-coding RNA, 1717 nt
Filed under: Setaria viridis
Lineage: Eukaryota; Viridiplantae; Streptophyta; Magnoliopsida; Poales; Poaceae
Description: long non-coding RNA (SVIR_LNC008365)
Source: RNAcentral
UGAUGUACUAAUGGAGUCUAAGGGUGGCAAGAAGUCUAGCAGUAGUCGUUCCAUGAUGUAUGAAGCUCCCCUUGGCUACAGCAUUGAGGACGUUCGACCUGCCGGAGGCGAGAAGAAGUUCCAGUCUGCUGCUUACUCCAACGUAAGAAUCAAUAAUCAUUGUUAUACUCUUCAUUCUACUUUUGUUGUUUCUGAUUUGUUGCUAACAUUGUCUUUUUCUACUGCAGUGCGCGAAGAAGCCAUCCUGAUAUCCCUUCCGUGCUUCCCCGUCCUAGUAGUUUAGGAUUUCUUUUCUAACGCUUUGAUUCUGACCAAUCUCUCUGGCCUGCUGCUUCCUGAUAAUCGACCAGUUCUCGAGUCUUGCUCCCUGCACUCCUCCCUCCAUCUCCAGCAUCGUUUUCUCACUCACCCGCUCCAAUGGCUGUUCUUUCUGCUGCUGACGCUCACCCGGUCUCAGCGAUCGGGUUUGAGGGCUAUGAGAAGCGCCUUGAGAUCACCUUCUCUGAGGCGCCUGUCUUUGUCGACCCUCAUGGGCGUGGUUUGCGUGCCCUUUCCAGGGCCCAGAUUGAUUCUGUUUUGGAUCUUGCACGGUGCACCAUCGUGUCCGAGCUCUCCAACAAGGAUUUUGACUCCUAUGUCCUCUCUGAGUCGAGCCUGUUUAUCUAUCCUCUGAAGAUUGUCAUCAAAACAUGUGGGACUACCAAGCUCCUGCUCACCAUUCCAAGGAUUAUUGAGCUUGCUGAAGAGCUGUCUAUGCCGCUUGCUGCUGUGAAGUACUCCCGUGGGAUGUUCAUCUUCCCCGGUGCACAGCCAGCCCCCCACAGGAGCUUCUCUGAGGAGGUUGCUGCCCUUAACCGCUACUUUGGUGGCCUGAAGUCUGGUGGUAAUGCUUAUGUGAUUGGAGAUCCUGCAAGACCUGGACAGAAGUGGCACAUCUACUAUGCCACCGAGUACCCAGAGCAACCCAUGGUUAACCUUGAGAUGUGCAUGACUGGUCUGGACAAGAAGAAAGCUUCAGUCUUUUUCAAGACUUCUGCUGAUGGCCACACAACGUGUGCCAAAGAAAUGACCAAGCUCUCUGGUAUCUCUGAAAUUAUUCCUGAGAUGGAGAUCUGUGAUUUUGACUUUGAACCCUGCGGCUACUCCAUGAACGCUAUCCAUGGCUCUGCUUUCUCCACCAUUCAUGUGACGCCUGAGGAUGGUUUCAGCUAUGCCAGCUAUGAAGUUAUGGGCUUCGACGCCACUGCACUUGCCUACGGCGACCUCGUGAAGAGGGUCCUCAGGUGCUUUGGCCCUUCGGAGUUCUCUGUUGCUGUGACUAUCUUUGGUGGGCGUGGCCAAGCCGCGACAUGGGGCAUGAAGCUUGAUGCUGAGGUUUACGACUGCAACAACAUGGUAGAGCAGGAGCUGCCCGGUGGUGUGCUUAUCUACCAGAGCUUUUCUGUUACUGAAGAUGCUAUUGUUGGCUCGCCCAAAUCUGUUCUUCAUUGCUUCGAGGGUGAGAACCUGGAGAAUGCUGCUCCUGUGAAGGACGGCAAACUGGCUAAUCUUCUCUGCUGGGAGGAAGAGGAUGCCAUGGAGGAGAAGGACGGCGUGCUUGCUGAGUAAGACUGGGGAAGGUGUCGAUUUGCUGCUGAGUUAUUUUUUUUUCUAAAUGUUGCGAUUGUCGUUUGGUUAUUGUGUGAAGCAGCCAAGCCAGGCUAUUUAUUAUGAAAAU